Molecule: ribosomal RNA, 448 nt
Filed under: uncultured bacterium
Lineage: Bacteria
Description: bacterial SSU rRNA
Rfam family: Bacterial small subunit ribosomal RNA
Source: RNAcentral
GAUGAACGCUGGCGGCGUGCUUAACACAUGCAAGUCGAGCGAAGCGCUUUUGCGGAUUUCUUCGGAUUGAAGCAACUGUGACUGAGCGGCGGACGGGUGAGUAACGCGUGGGUAACCUGCCUCAUACAGGGGGAUAACAGUUGGAAACGGCUGCUAAUACCGCAUAAGCGCACAGUACCGCAUGGUACCGUGUGAAAAACUCCGGUGGUAUGAGAUGGACCCGCGUCUGAUUAGCUAGUUGGUGGGGUAACGGCCUACCAAGGCGACGAUCAGUAGCCGACCUGAGAGGGUGACCGGCCACAUUGGGACUGAGACACGGCCCAAACUCCUACGGGAGGCAGCAGUGGGGAAUAUUGCACAAUGGGGGAAACCCUGAUGCAGCGACGCCGCGUGAGCGAUGAAGUAUUUCGGUAUGUAAAGCUCUAUCAGCAGGGAAGAAAAUGACGGU